Molecule: long non-coding RNA, 644 nt
Filed under: Pan troglodytes (chimpanzee)
Lineage: Eukaryota; Metazoa; Chordata; Mammalia; Primates; Hominidae
Description: long non-coding RNA NONPTRT008203
Source: RNAcentral
UUUGGACGCAGGCUCAGUGUUUAGUCCCAGCGUUCGGUGGAGUCCGGAGAGACUCAGGAUCAGAUGAGUCGGGGUCUGGAUGUGGCUCCAAGUGAAAGGCCUGUGGGGUCCACCUAGGUCCGUGCAGGUUACAAAUGGCAACCAGAACAGGGACUCCAAGCACGCCCAACUAGCAGCAUCCAAUCAUGGGACUUCAAAGACGUGAAUGAAGAAGGUCUGCUGGAGCAGAGGAACUGAAACUGACUAGGCGAAAGGGGACCCGGGGAAGAGUCUGCCGGCAGCAGAUAUAAGGGGGAUAUGCAGGGAGCCGAAGGCCCAUGGGACGUGACCAACUCAGCAUUCCACUGGAGGCUAUAUGAUCAAACAGCAAACUGUUUAUCAUGAAUACAGGAUGUGGGCAAACUCAGGACUGCUCCUGCCAACAUAAGGUUUGCUGGAGGCAAUCACUCCCUGGCACGGAGGUUAUCUACUGCGACAUCUAGAGAAUGCAGUCCUGCAAGCCUACUCUGAACUGAGCAGCUGACCCCUUCUUCCACCCCCCCCCACCCUCCUAUCUCUUUUGCCUAAUAAAUACGGAGGGCUGUGUAAAGCUCAGGGCCCUUGUCCACUAGAGGCAAGGUGCUCCCUGACCCCUUCUCCCAAAU